AUCAGGAGGGAGACCACGCCCACUCUGCGCCGACCGGCUGGGCCUGGCACCCGCGGGCGGCCCCAGCCUCAGUCUCCAGCUACCUUUGCCUCCUGCGGCCGCCCCCAGGCAGAGCUGCGAUCCCACCGCCGGGGGUGCAGGGAGAGGGAAGAUCUGGCCUCCUUGGUCCUUUUGCGUGGGCUCUUCAGAGCGUGAGCGCCGGGGAGGGACUCCGGAGAAAAGCUUGGGGGGCUGCGUAUUGCUGCUCCCCAAGCUGGGCGUCAGGACCAACCCCGCCGCCCCCACGGGCCUGACGGGAGAGGAGGAAGGGCUCGGGACGGUCGGCUCGCCGAGCCAACCAGGUGGCGCCUGAAGAGCUGUCCAUGGUGUCGACAGCCCAGCAAACGGCACCGAGUUCCUAGUCUGAGUGUCUGGAUAGGUAGCAGAAGAAAAACUAAUGCCUGCUCUGGGACAGUUCUGUUCGGUGCCUUUUCUUGUGUGUUCUGGAGCUCACAGGGUUCUAUCGAAGAGUGCUUAGGUGUAUACGAUGGAGAGUGGGACGUCACAAACCAGGAUCUCAAGGCUGAGUCCAACAAAACAUGGCCGUAGGGAGGCCACGACAGCUGUGGUUGUCACCGACGGAUGAAUAGCUUUUGCCAACCGUGGAAUUUAGUAACUAAAGGCACCUAACCCUUUUAUCUCAUCCUCAUUUUUCAACAAAUGGUGCUUCCUGGCUAAUAUCAGCGUGUCCCAUAGAUUUCUGCUUCCAUUGAAUAGACCUAAUAAGAAAGAGAAUGAAGUCAAAGCCAACAGGGCAGAAAGAAAUUGAAAACCUGAAGAACCCAGCACUCAAACUGUCUCCACUUGCGUUUGCUUUUUCUUUACCUCUUCUCCUUCUGGUUUUCAACAGCCAAAGCAGGAUUUAAAUUUGGUUAUGUUGCAAAAAUCAUUUCCCUCUUCAGGCCCUGUCAUGUGACUUGAUUUUUUCGUCCAUUUUAGAGAAGCUGUACCCACCCUGGUUUCAGGACACGGAACUAAAUUUAUUAGAAAAGAAGCCACUUCAAGUCAUGAAGGAGAAACACAAAGAUUCUUGGAUUUAGUUCUAAGAACUAGAGGGGAUUUCUAUGUCAGUACUGUCUCAGAAAAAACUGUUGAUAUCAAAUGUGUUGCUUGAGAAGUACCUUUUUUUUUUUGAGACGGAGUCUCGCUCUGUCCGCCCAGGCUAGAGUGCAGUGGCGCGAUCUCGGCUCACUGCAAGCUCCGCCUCCCGGGUUCACGCCGUUCUCCUGCCUCAGCCUCCCGAGUAGCUGGGAUUACAGGUGCCCACCACCACGCCCGGCUAAUUUUUGUAUUUUUAGUAGAGACAGGGUUUCACCGUGUUAGCCAGGAUGGUCUCGAUCUCCUGACCUCGUGAUCCACCCGCCUCGGCCUCCCAAAGUGCUGGGAUAACAGGCGUGAGCCAUCGCGCCCGGCCGAGAGGUACCUUUUAUGACAACUGAAAUCAUUCAGUUUCAAGAGGAGUUGGGUACUGAAACCAAACUUGCUUACUCCAAAGCCCAAAAUCCUUUCCACCAUGCCUGUGUGUCUGUAAGGCUACACUAGAAAUGCUUCCUUUCUUAUAGUGGGAAGCAUGGGUACUAAGCUCUUUUACGAACAAGUGUUCUGCAUAUUCCUGGUUCCUUUUUAUUUUGGACUGAGGAGAUUUAGGUCAAAAUUUCUGGGUUCUGGGUUGGAAUUCCAGCUUCUUUCUUCAAAUUAAACUGGGGGGUAGCAAGACUUAUUCCUAGAUUUGUUAGAAGGCCACAGCUUUUCCACAUCUCAUUUUAGUCAUGAAAAAGACACAUGCCCAGAGUUUGAAAAACAUAAAGGCAAUUUGACUAGUGGC
Molecule: long non-coding RNA, 1864 nt
Organism: Homo sapiens (human)
Lineage: Eukaryota; Metazoa; Chordata; Mammalia; Primates; Hominidae
Gene: PAXBP1-AS1
Product: PAXBP1 antisense RNA 1
Source: Ensembl